AUCGGACUCGGCGAUUGAUGUUUUUUUUUUCAGCUUUCCACUGCCCGCUCAGUUUGUGCAGAGACAGACUUCUCAUCCAACCUUCUGCAUCAGAGCUGCUCUAUUUCUCAGGGUGCUUAUCCAGCAAUUAUUGGACUGGAGCGGACUGCAGAAACAUAUAGAUCUGCUACUGAACAGCUAGAGACAGAGGAUGUGACAGAAGUACAGGGGAUUAAGUUCAGACUCAGCGGCUUCAACUUCAGGCGCGGCAUCCUCUUCCUCACCGUCCAUUCAGUCUUCACCAUCGUCUACUGCUACCUCAUCACCUUCACCAAGCUGCAGCCCAUUUUUGCCAACCUGGGUAGACAGUUUUCAGAUACCUUGGCAGAAGCUCCCAGAAGAGUUAAUGCAGACUUUGGAAAGACAGAAAAGGCCAAGUCCACAACUACGAAGAGAAAUGGUGUUUCUUUUCAAUAAAUCCAGAGAGACGAACAAAAGUCGAGCACAGCAAGAAGAGGAAGGUCUUUGCUGUCAACCCAAGAGUCCUCACACUCAUCGCAGACCUUGCAGACCAUGGGUAGACUUAGACCAUACUUCGUGAGUCAUGUGAUGUGAGGUGUAAUGUUGUUGUAAUGUUGCAGUAUGUUAAACACUGCAUUUUAUUGGUAUUCUGAGUGUACACAGUGUAAGAUGUGAUCCUUUUUCAUC
Molecule: long non-coding RNA, 687 nt
Organism: Mugil cephalus (flathead mullet)
Lineage: Eukaryota; Metazoa; Chordata; Actinopteri; Mugiliformes; Mugilidae
Exons: 4
Source: RefSeq, a predicted model, not a curated record